RNAcentral lists this transfer RNA (68 nucleotides) under Kerivoula hardwickii (Hardwicke's woolly bat). RNAcentral's name for it is "tRNA-Val". The record is from RNAcentral. Lineage: Eukaryota; Metazoa; Chordata; Mammalia; Chiroptera; Vespertilionidae.
CAAAGAGUAGCUUAAACAAAGCACCUAGUUUACACCUAGAAGAUAUCCUAUAUAAAGAUCCCUUUGAU